This 218-nucleotide long non-coding RNA is filed under the name Hordeum vulgare. RNAcentral describes it as "long non-coding RNA (HVUL_LNC001828)". The record is from RNAcentral. Lineage: Eukaryota; Viridiplantae; Streptophyta; Magnoliopsida; Poales; Poaceae.
UGUUUGAGAAUCAACGUUGAAGAUGCCCUUCUAUUGCUUCCUCUGAUACAAAAUGAAUUUUGCCAUGAAAAAUAGAAACAUUCUUCCAGUAAACCAUUUUUGCAUGACGGAAGUUAAAGAACAAAGAAAGAUUUUCUAUUUUUUCCGAUCUCAAUUAAGAAAAAAGGAUUUCCUCUGCUUUGUAUUACAAAGCAACCAAUCGAUACAUCCAGCUCACU